UGAGAAACGUGCCCAUAACUCUGGGAUAACCUCCGGAAACGGUGGCUAAUACUGGAUAUCUAACACGAUCGCAUGGUCUGUGUUUGGAAAGAUUUUUUGGUUAUGGAUCGGCUCACGGCCUAUCAGCUUGUUGGUGAGGUAAUGGCUCACCAAGGCGACGACGGGUAGCCGGCCUGAGAGGGUGACCGGCCACACUGGGACUGAGACACGGCCCAGACUCCUACGGGAGGCAGCAGUGGGGAAUAUUGCACAAUGGGCGAAAGCCUGAUGCAGCAACGCCGCGUGAGGGAUGACGGCCUUCGGGUUGUAAACCUCUUUUAGUAGGGAAGAAGCGAAAGUGACGGUACCUGCAGAAAAAGCACCGGCUAACUACGUGCCAGCAGCCGCGGUAAUACGUAGGGUGCAAGCGUUGUCCGGAAUUAUUGGGCGUAAAGAGCUCGUAGGCGGUUUGUCGCGUCUGCUGUGAAAUCCCGAGGCUCAACCUCGGGUCUGCAGUGGGUACGGGCAGACUAGAGUGUGGUAGGGGAGAUUGGAAUUCCUGGUGUAGCGGUGGAAUGCGCAGAUAUCAGGAGGAACACCGAUGGCGAAGGCAGAUCUCUGGGCCAUUACUGACGCUGAGGAGCGAAAGCAUGGGGAGCGAACAGGAUUAGAUACCCUGGUAGUCCAUGCCGUAAACGUUGGGCGCUAGAUGUGGGGACCAUUCCACGGUUUCCGUGUCGUAGCUAACGCAUUAAGCGCCCCGCCUGGGGAGUACGGCCGCAAGGCUAAAACUCAAAGGAAUUGACGGGGGCCCGCACAAGCGGCGGAGCAUGCGGAUUAAUUCGAUGCAACGCGAAGAACCUUACCAAGGCUUGACAUAUACCGGAAACGUUCAGAAAUGUUCGCCCCGCAAGGUCGGUAUACAGGUGGUGCAUGGUUGUCGUCAGCUCGUGUCGUGAGAUGUUGGGUUAAGUCCCGCAACGAGCGCAACCCUCGUCGUAUGUUGCCAGCACGUAAUGGUGGGAACUCAUAUGAGACUGCCGGGGUCAACUCGGAGGAAGGUGGGGAUGACGUCAAAUCAUCAUGCCCCUUAUGUCUUGGGCUUCACGCAUGCUACAAUGGCUGGUACAAUGGGCUGCAAUACCGCGAGGUGGAGCGAAUCCCAAAAAGCCUGUCUCAGUUC
RNAcentral lists this ribosomal RNA (1162 nucleotides) under Pseudoclavibacter sp. TA_HM. RNAcentral's name for it is "bacterial SSU rRNA". It matches the Rfam family "Bacterial small subunit ribosomal RNA", at positions 118 to 1294 of the family's 1533-position model. The record is from RNAcentral. Lineage: Bacteria; Bacillati; Actinomycetota; Actinomycetes; Micrococcales; Microbacteriaceae.